CCUACGGGAGGCAGCAGUGGGGAAUAUUGGACAAUGGGCGAAAGCCUGAUCCAGCAAUGCCGCGUGAGUGAUGAAGGCCUUAGGGUUGUAAAGCUCUUUUACCAGGGAUGAUAAUGACAGUACCUGGAGAAUAAGCUCCGGCUAACUCCGUGCCAGCAGCCGCGGUAAUACGGAGGGAGCUAGCGUUGUUCGGAAUUACUGGGCGUAAAGCGUACGUAGGCGGUUAUUCAAGUCAGAGGUGAAAGCCUGGAGCUCAACUCCAGAACUGCCUUUGAAACUAGAUAGCUAGAAUCUUGGAGAGGUGAGUGGAAUUCCGAGUGUAGAGGUGAAAUUCGUAGAUAUUCGGAAGAACACCAGUGGCGAAGGCGACUCACUGGACAAGUAUUGACGCUGAGGUACGAAAGCGUGGGGAGCAAACAGGAUUAGAUACCCUGGUAGUCCACGCCGUAAACGAUGAUAACUAGCUGUUCGGGCUCUACGAGCUUGUAGUGGCGCNGCUACGACAUUAAGUUAGUCCGUCCGUCGGGGUAGGUACGGUCGCGAGAAGUUAAACGUUAACUAAAUUAGAAGUUAGUUACGGCGUGAGACGUUGCCGACGGACGACGACGAGGGGAGGUUAGG
Molecule: ribosomal RNA, 621 nt
Filed under: uncultured bacterium
Lineage: Bacteria
Description: bacterial SSU rRNA
Rfam family: Bacterial small subunit ribosomal RNA (bases 1-520)
Source: RNAcentral